CCCGCAGUGUAUUAAACAGCACGUGAACAGGCAGCAGCAGAGCGCGUGGCAGUGCAUUGUUAUUAUUAUUAUUAUUAUUAUUAUUAUUAUUAUUAUUAUUAUUAUUACACACUGCGGUGAGGGAAGAACAGUCAGUGGAUUUGGGAGAUGAAGAUUUAUGGAGUAUUUCUUCAGUUUUAACUCUCUGGACAUUUUCUUGGUUAAUUCGGCGACAUGAACUCCAGUGGAUUAUCAGACCAAGAGAUCACAGCUCUCUCUUCCGUGUAUGUCUCCUGUCUCAGUUUAAGUUUAAUUGGGAGCUGCUCUGUUUUCAU
Molecule: long non-coding RNA, 314 nt
Organism: Ictalurus punctatus (channel catfish)
Lineage: Eukaryota; Metazoa; Chordata; Actinopteri; Siluriformes; Ictaluridae
Source: Ensembl